AGAGUUUGAUCCUGGCUCAGAACGAACGCUGGCGGCAUGCCUAACACAUGCAAGUCGAACGGCACCCCUGGGUUCGCCUGGCGGGUGCAGUGGCGCACGGGUGAGUAGCGCGUGGGAACCUGCCUUUCAGUGGGGGAUAACCGCGGGAAACUGCGGCUAAUACCGCAUACGCCGGUUGUCUUGAAAGAGAUGGCCGGGAA
This 200-nucleotide ribosomal RNA is filed under the name uncultured bacterium. RNAcentral describes it as "partial 16S ribosomal RNA". It matches the Rfam family "Bacterial small subunit ribosomal RNA", at positions 8 to 204 of the family's 1533-position model. The record is from RNAcentral.